Long non-coding RNA from Erigeron canadensis, 1912 nucleotides. RefSeq lists it as uncharacterized. Lineage: Eukaryota; Viridiplantae; Streptophyta; Magnoliopsida; Asterales; Asteraceae. The transcript has 5 exons. The record is from RefSeq and is a predicted model, not a curated record.
UAUUUUUUCUCUCGCCAGAUCAUCACAAAUUCCCAACCCCAUCAACAACCAAAUCCCAACCCCUCGCCGGAUUCAUCGCCUGGAUUCAUAACCACCAACGACCGCCGUUGGAUUCAUCGCCAUCAACCACCGACGCCCUUCACCACCAUCUCCGCCCUUCACCAUCAUCGCCCUCAACACCAUUGGCACUGCAAAUCUUUAAUUGUGUGACGACAUGUUUAAUUGAUUAUUUAUCCGGAUCGAUUGUUUUCUAUAACUUGAUUAACAAUUUUGAAUUAGUCGCUGCAAAAUCUUUAACUUGAUCAAUUAUUUUUUUUAUAUAAGGAAAGAUGGGAGAAUAUAUCUUGAAGCCAUAAACAAAUUGUUCUGAAUUAUUUGCGCAUCUGCAGAUAGAUGAAGAAAUUAACAGCUCUACAGCACCACCACCACAACUCAACCAUUUGUUGCGCCAUCAACAUAUGUGUCGCCUCCGCCUCCGCUACCACCACUGUGAUCUUUAUUCUUUAUCUUCUUUAACCAAGGGAUGUAGUAUAAAAUGUAUUUUCGUAAUUAUUUAGGAUCCUAUCUAUCUUCAAUAGUGUAUAUUAUAAACGUUGUUCUCACUUUCUUAAUUACAGGCAACGAUGAAGACAUGUAACUCGGCAACCAGUUUUAUUCAUGGUUAGUACCAUGUUAGUAUUCAUUAUUAUGAAUGUCAAAAUUAUGUUUUAGGCUAAUCCCUGUUGAAAGCUAUCCAUUGUGACAAUAUUUGAAAUGGAAGCCGCACUCAAGUUAAUGGUGAAUUGGAGGUGAUUUCCAUCUAAAUGUUUAGAAUGAAGAGAUUUAUCACAGAAAUACUGUAGACAUGUUUUCGAUAUAGAGGUACAAAUCUAUACAUCCAUGUAUCUUAGCAAAUUCAUUGUUUAAAGUUUAAAACUUUUCUAUGUGGUUCAAAAUGAAUCUGUAUUUUACAGUUUGUAAGGUACAUGAGGAGGAUGUUGACACAAUGAAGACCUACAGCUAACAAUCAAUGGUAUAACACCAUUGGUGUAACCGAGCUAAUAAACUUCAAAUAUUCAGCAAAAUUGGAUUUUAUGACAUUGCUAUAUCUUCUUGAUACCGAAGGUGAAAAGGCUUUAGAAGUUGUUGGAUCUUGCUGUCCAUUACUUGGAUAACUUAGUCUACUUCCAUCCGCCCCGUUUAACUAACAAAUUUUCAUGAAGGCCAUAUUGAGUACAGUAUUUACAAUUUGUUCACCACACUUACAAACAUUGACUACACUGUUGAUUUGUUAGUCAAGUUUGUCAACCGAUGUUCCUGAUCAAGGAUAUACCCUUGGUUUCGUUUCAAGUGGUGUCUAAGGUAAUAUGAGGAGUGUGGGACAGAGGUGGUUACAACAUGGAGGUCAUUGGUUUUACUCCUAAAGUAAGAGAACAAGUUGACAAGGUGGCAUCUGUGAGAUGUUAUAACCCUUAUAAAACCUGGCACCGUUCUAGCUCUUGCUAUCACAACCCUCAAUCAUGAUGGCAAAUGACCUUCUUUUACCUUGACAUCUUGACCUAUUGUUUCUACUUUGUUAGGAUCCCAUGGAAUGAGAAAUAGGAUGUCGUGAUUGACAGGUACUAUAUAAAUAUUUAAUGUUUUUUGAAUAUUGACAUUUUGGGAAGGUUCCAUGUUGACAAAACAGAGGAAGAAGAAGAAUUAAAAGAGUGAGUUAGUUUUGAGCAUUACUGGGAUAUAAUAGACUGGUUUAGGAUUGACCAUAGCACUCGACCAGUCAGUGCUUUUUUUGUCAGUUUGUGUCGAUUUUGGAAAUACCUCGAUGUGGCAAUGUUAUAUGAUCAAAGAAACUAUAUUAGUUGUAUUCUAAUUAAUAAACUUUCAUGUUUUUUGUUGUUGGACGUCAAUAAAUAAUGGUAAUUUUCACGGGUUA